Molecule: ribosomal RNA, 48 nt
Filed under: uncultured fungus
Lineage: Eukaryota; Fungi
Description: partial 28S ribosomal RNA
Source: RNAcentral
UGACCUNAAAUCAGGUAGGACUACCCGCUGAACUUAAGCAUAUCAAUA